RNAcentral lists this ribosomal RNA (240 nucleotides) under uncultured bacterium. Its description in RNAcentral is "partial 16S ribosomal RNA". It matches the Rfam family "Bacterial small subunit ribosomal RNA", at positions 537 to 776 of the family's 1533-position model. The record is from RNAcentral.
AGCGUUGUCCGGAAUCACUGGGCGUAAAGCGCACGUAGGCGGAUUUGUAAGUCAGGGGUGAAAUCCCGGGGCUCAACCUCGGAACUGCCUUUGAUACUGCAAAUCUUGAGUCCGGAAGAGGUGAGUGGAAUUCCUAGUGUAGAGGUGAAAUUCGUAGAUAUUAGGAAGAACACCAGUGGCGAAGGCGGCUCACUGGUCCGGUACUGACGCUGAGGUGCGAAAGCGUGGGGAGCAAACAGG